Molecule: long non-coding RNA, 303 nt
Filed under: Mytilus galloprovincialis (Mediterranean mussel)
Lineage: Eukaryota; Metazoa; Mollusca; Bivalvia; Mytilida; Mytilidae
Source: RNAcentral
CAUUAAUGGUUUACAUAUUUUUUUCAGUACAUGCAUGAAGAUGACUUGGAGGCAAUGGUGUCAUACAUGUUAGUUUUAACUAUAAUAGCAUUACUGAAAUUUGAAAAAAAAGUUAUCAGAGGAAAAGAGUGACCACUUCUUUCUUAUGAAGAUCAACACACACAAGGAAAUUAUCAGACAAUUUGUAACCAGAUAUGGGUGCAGUUUUAGAUAUAUGCAUGAAAGAAAGUGAAAUCAAUGUUUUUUUUAGAUAAAAGCUUGAUGAUAUAACAAAAUUAUAACAGUGCUGAAUAUGAAAACCCC